GCGUUAUUUGGAAAUUUCCUCAGACGCUCGAGCCUCCAACGCGAACCACGAGCAACGCCGACGAACCACGAACCACGAACCAAGAACGAAGUCAACACACGAACGGGUUUCUAUUUGGUCUCUACAAAGAGUAUGCUGCUCCUUAUUAAACCAAAGAUCACAAAUGGCACAAGAAAUGUCACCACAAAAGAAUGAGGCUCAAAACCAACGAAAGCCAAUAAUCAAAAUAAUGGCUCAAAAGAGAAAAUCAAAGGCAAACUAUAAUAGGAAAGCAAAGCACCCGGCUACAUCCAGUUUUGGUGCAACGUCUAUGCUUUCAAUAGCAUCAUUACAGACAUUAAAGACAAGCUAACUGCUCAAGAAAACGCCUUUCUGGAACUUGAUUGAGCUGUUUUACAACAAAAGAGUUGACAUGAAUAAGUCGGACCUCGACUUAGUAAAGUUGGUCAAGAAGUUUGAUCCAGAUACAAAGUCCUUCAAUUUUGGCACCAAAUCACAGCCAAUGCAGUGACUGAGAUUCUAGGACUUCCAAACGAAGGAAGCUCUGUCGAACUUGGCAAUGAUGGAUACACUGCUACCUUCAGAACAAGACACUUUGGAGGAAAGUCAAAACCAUCAAAAGGCAUGGUAGAAGAAGAAUUACAAAAGACAAUUGUCUUAGCAAACCAACCGAAGAAAGAAAAGGCCAAGGUAAAGCAAAAUAAGAAAAUGAACAGAGGAAAAGCAAAAUAAGAAGCUGAAGAAGAAGAAGAAGAAUGGGAAGACAAACAGGAAAAUGAGGUUGUUGACUACGACAAGGAUGUGGUCAGCCUAAUCUUGAUUCUGCUCUGCAUGACAUUCCUCUUUGCCAACUCAUCAUCCACUUUGCACUGGAAAAUUGUUGAGCACUGUGUGAAUCUAGACACACUUUCAAGCUAUUUGUGGGCAAGAGUUGUUUCAACCUACAUAAAUGACUCAUUGAUAAAAAAGGUAAAAGCAAAGAAGAGAGGAGAAGCCUCUAUAAGAGUUUUUCGGGUUGCACUAUCCUAAUAUUAUUUCUACUGUGUGAGAGGACAAACAUCAUACAACCAAUCCUUCGCAAGGAGAAAGAAAUUCCUACAAUUCUUAAAUGGAGUCUUGUGGAACUCCACACAAGAUUCAACCAAAUAGAGGACUUAAAUGACAUAGAGAGUAUUUUCAAAACCCCUAAAAAGCGAAAAACUAUUAGAGAAGAGAAAUAUCCUGUUGACAAGGUAAUUUGAAUUUGUAUACAGUGGCUUAUGCAUUGCAGUUUCUGUUUUCUGCAAUGCAAUUUGCAUUUUAUCCAGUGCAGUUUCUAAAUCAUUCUCAUUGUACACUUGAUGUUCCUUCAAGAAUACAAAGGCUAAAGAACAGAGAAAGAAAGAGGCGUCAAGCAUCUUGCUAUGAGUACAAAAAAGAUAAGCAACCAAAAAAGGAGUGCUUGAAAGUGUGUCUAGAUUCACAGUGCUCAACAAUUUUCCAAUGCAAAGUGGAUGAAGAGUUGGCAAAGAGGAAUGUCAUGUAGAGUAGAAUCAAGAUUAGGUUGACCACAUCCUUAUCGUAGUCAACAACCUCAUUUUCCUGUUUAUCUUCCCCUUCUUCUUCUUCAGCUUCUUUUUUUGCUUUUCCUCUGUUCGUUUUCUUCUUUUGCUUUACCUUGGCCUUUUCUUUCUUCGGUUGGUUUGCCAAGGCAAUUGUCUUUUGUAAUUCUUCUUCUACCAUGUCUUUUGAUGGUUUUGACUUUCCUCCGAAGUGCCUUGUUCUGAAGGUAGCAGUGUAUCUAUCAUUGCCAAGUUUGACAGAGUUUCCUUCAUUUGGAAGUCUUAGAAUCUCAGUCACUGCAUUGGCUGUGAUUUUGAAUGAUUUGGUGCCGAAAUUGAAGGACUUUGUAUCUGGAUUAAACUUCUUGAGCAGCUUUACUAAGUCGAGGUUCGACUUAUUCAUGUUAUUCAUGUCAAUUCUUUUGUUGUAAAACAACUCAAUCAAGUUCCAGAAAGGCGUUUUCUUGAGCAGUUUCUUCUGCAUUUCAUUGAGUUUGUCUUUAACGUCUAUAAUGAUGUUAUUGAAAGCAUUGAUAUUGCACCAAAACUGGAUAUAGUCCGGGUGCUUUGCUUUCCUAUUAUAGUUUGCCUUUGAUUUU
RNA transcript from Prunus dulcis (almond), 2140 nucleotides. RefSeq lists it as uncharacterized. The transcript is spliced from 5 exons. The record is from RefSeq and is a predicted model, not a curated record. NCBI's taxonomy places the organism in Eukaryota, Viridiplantae, Streptophyta, Magnoliopsida, Rosales, Rosaceae.